UGGGGAAUAUUGGGCAAUGGAGGGAACUCUGACCCAGCAACGCCGCGUGAAGGAUGAAGGUUUUCGGAUUGUAAACUUCUGUCGCGAGGGACGAAGAAUGACGGUACCUCGUAAGAAAGCCCCGGCAAACUACGUGCCAGCAGCCGCGGUAAUACGUAGGGGGCAAGCGUUGUCCGGAAUGACUGGGCGUAAAGGGAGUGUAGGCGGCCGACCAAGUUAUGUGUGAAAGCCCGCGGCUUAACCGCGGAACGGCACAUAAAACUGGACGGCUGGAGUGCAGGAGAGGCAAGUGGAAUUCCUAGUGUAGCGGUGGAAUGCGUAGAUAUUAGGAGGAACACCAGUGGCGAAGGCGGCUUGCUGGACUGUAACUGACGCUGAGGCUCGAAAGCGUGGGGAGCAAACAGG
This 405-nucleotide ribosomal RNA is filed under the name uncultured bacterium. RNAcentral describes it as "bacterial SSU rRNA". It matches the Rfam family "Bacterial small subunit ribosomal RNA", at positions 355 to 776 of the family's 1533-position model. The record is from RNAcentral.